Molecule: long non-coding RNA, 714 nt
Filed under: Oryctolagus cuniculus (rabbit)
Lineage: Eukaryota; Metazoa; Chordata; Mammalia; Lagomorpha; Leporidae
Description: lncRNA (ENSOCUG00000036841.1)
Source: RNAcentral
AUGAGGUUUCUUCAACGAGAUACCUCGGCUGCCGGCUCUAGCCUUAACUCAAGGGCGUUCGGCACGCCGGGUGACAGCGAGCAUCGAGAACGCGCGCCCCGGAAGAGCUUGUUCCGGCGCGCGCGUCGAACGACCGAGCGAGCGAGGGGCCCCGGCAACGGCCUCGGCGCGUGGUCGGGAGCGCGCCGGGCCGUGCGUGCGACUGCAGGCAGCCCUGCGUGUUGCGUGGGGGGCAGGGAAGGAAGGAAGCGCCCGCCCCCCGCCCGCCCUCUGAGUGCCCGUCGCGCGUGGGGUGAAGUUUUCCUAGCUUGCCUGACUUGGUCACUCUGGUGCCACUUCCCACUGGCUUCUGUGUCAUCUGCUGCUCUCAGACUGCCCACACCUGAGUGCAAAGCACUAACUCUGUGAUGCCUCUGAGAUGCCUCAUGUGCUGCCAGCAUCCCAUAUGAAUGAUGUGCUUCAGUUUGAGUCCCAGCUGCUUUGCUUCUGAUCCAGCUCCCUGCUGGUGUGCCUGGGAAGGCAGUGUAAGAGGUCCCAGCUAUUUGGCCCCUGACACCCCCGUGUGUGACCCAGUUGAAUUCUGGGCUCCUACUUUGAAUGAUACAGUCCUGGCCAUUUGGGGAGUGAAUCAGUAGAUGGAAGAUAUAUUUCUACUUCUCUCUGUAACUCUGUCCUUUAAAUAAAUAAAUAAAUAAAUAGGGGCCGGCGCUGUGG